Molecule: ribosomal RNA, 381 nt
Filed under: uncultured microorganism
Description: bacterial SSU rRNA
Rfam family: Archaeal small subunit ribosomal RNA
Source: RNAcentral
GUGCAGCAGGCGCGAAACCUUCGCAAUGCGGGAAACCGCGACGAGGGGACUCCCAGUGCCUACGCUCAGCGUAGGCUGUUCCCGAGCCUAGAAAGCUCGGGGAGUAAGGGCUGGGUAAGACGGGUGCCAGCCGCCGCGGUAAUACCGCAGCCCGAGUGGUGGCCACUAUUAUUGGGCCUAAAGCGUCCGUAGCCGACCCGGUAAAUGCCUGGGUAAAUCGUGAGGCCUAACCUCACGAAUUCCGGGUAGACUGCCGGGCUAGGGACCGGAGGAGGGGAGAGGGUACUCCAGGGGUAGGGGUGAAAUCCUGUAAUCCCUGGAGGACCACCGGUGGCGAAGGCGCUCUCCUAGGACGGGUCCGACGGUGAGGGACGAAAGCCA